Oncorhynchus masou masou (cherry salmon) is the source of this 252-nucleotide long non-coding RNA. RefSeq lists it as uncharacterized. The record is from RefSeq and is a predicted model, not a curated record. The transcript is spliced from 3 exons. Lineage: Eukaryota; Metazoa; Chordata; Actinopteri; Salmoniformes; Salmonidae.
UUGUGUGUGUGUAAUAACCCGGUCAUGACCUGGUGUUGUGUGGGUGUAGGUGCUCAUGCUGACCCUGCAGAAUGACCCUCCCUGCUUGGAGACGGGCAUCCAGGACAAGGAGAUGGUGAAGAAGUAUGGCAAGUCCUUCAGGAAGAUGAUCUCACUCUGUCUACAGAAGGAGCCUGAGAAAAGACCGACUGCUGCUGAGCUGCUAAAGCAUAAAUUCUUCACUAAAGCAAAGAAUAAUGAAUACUUGGAAGA